UGUGCAAAGGUAGCAUAAUCAUUUGGCUUAUAAUUGAAGUCUGGCAUGAAAGGAUUCAUGGGAAGUGACUGUCUUUGAAGACAUACCAGAAAUUACUCAGCGAGUGAAAAUUCUUGCAAAUACUUAAUAGACGAGAAGACCCUAGAAGUUUUAUAUACAGUAAUUAAGAUAUUAGUACUAUUUUGUUGGGGCGACAGAGUAGCAGUAAACCUAUUCUUAUAAAUUAGAACUAUAUGCUGAGUUAAAUCAAACUACUCUAGGGAUAACAGCAUAAUUUAUUAAAGUUUGUGACCUCGAUGUUGGACUAGGGAUCUUAGUACUUAGAAGGUGCUAUGCCAAGCUCUGUUCGAGCUAUUUUCCCUACAUGAUCUGAGUUCAAAUCGA
This 384-nucleotide ribosomal RNA is filed under the name Xeroplexa intersecta. RNAcentral describes it as "partial 16S ribosomal RNA". It matches the Rfam family "Bacterial large subunit ribosomal RNA", at positions 1947 to 2619 of the family's 2925-position model. The record is from RNAcentral. Lineage: Eukaryota; Metazoa; Mollusca; Gastropoda; Stylommatophora; Geomitridae.